This 273-nucleotide ribosomal RNA is filed under the name uncultured prokaryote. RNAcentral's name for it is "partial 16S ribosomal RNA". It matches the Rfam family "Bacterial small subunit ribosomal RNA", at positions 524 to 796 of the family's 1533-position model. The record is from RNAcentral.
UACGAAGGGUGCGAGCGUUAUUCGGAAUCACUGGGCGUAAAGAGUGCGUAGACGGUCCAUUAAGUUUGUUGUUAAAGACUCUAGCCUAACUGGAGGGUUGCAAUGAAAACUGGUGAGCUGGAGGGUGAGAGAGAGAAGUGGAAUUCCUGGAGUAGCGGUAAAAUGCGUGGAUCUCAGGAGGAACACCAAUGGCGAAGGCAGCUUCUUGGCUCAUUCCUGACGUUGAGGCACGAAAGCGUGGGGAGCAAACAGGAUUAGAAACCCUAGUAGUCC